CUUCUAAUGAUGAUACUUUUUGUCCAGUUCUGCUACUGAAGGGAGAGCGAUGACAUACUGUGAUGCUGAGGAAG
Indicator indicator is the source of this 74-nucleotide small nucleolar RNA. Lineage: Eukaryota; Metazoa; Chordata; Aves; Piciformes; Indicatoridae. The record is from RefSeq and is a predicted model, not a curated record.